AGCGAACGCUGGCGGCAGGCCUAAUACAUGCAAGUCGAACGGCUCUUCGGAGCAGUGGCGGACGGGUGAGUAACGCGUGGGAACGUGCCCUUUGGUACGGAACAACUGAGGGAAACUUCAGCUAAUACCGUAUGUGCCCUUCGGGGGAAAGAUUUAUCGCCAUUGGAGCGGCCCGCGUUGGAUUAGCUAGUUGGUGGGGUAAAGGCCCACCAAGGCGACGAUCCAUAGCCGGUCUGAGAGGAUGAUCAGCCACACUGGGACUGAGACACGGCCCAGACUCCUACGGGAGGCAGCAGUAGGGAAUCUUGCGCAAUGGGCGAAAGCCUGACGCAGCCAUGCCGCGUGAAUGAUGAAGGUCUUAGGAUUGUAAAAUUCUUUCACCGGGGAAGAUAAUGACGGUACCCGGAGAAGAAGCCCCGGCUAACUUCGUGCCAGCCGCCGCGGUAA
This 447-nucleotide ribosomal RNA is filed under the name uncultured bacterium. RNAcentral's name for it is "partial 16S ribosomal RNA". It matches the Rfam family "Bacterial small subunit ribosomal RNA", at positions 29 to 523 of the family's 1533-position model. The record is from RNAcentral.